This 867-nucleotide ribosomal RNA is filed under the name Bacillus sp. (in: firmicutes). RNAcentral describes it as "bacterial SSU rRNA". It matches the Rfam family "Bacterial small subunit ribosomal RNA", at positions 31 to 875 of the family's 1533-position model. Lineage: Bacteria; Bacillati; Bacillota; Bacilli; Caryophanales; Bacillaceae. The record is from RNAcentral.
GAGCUCUAUCCGCAGGCCUAAUAAUGGCAAGUCGAAGCGGACAGAAGGGGAAGCUUGGCUCCCGGAUGGUUAGCGGCGGACGGGUGAGUAACACGUGGGUAACCUGCCUGUAAGACUGGGAUAACUCCGGGAAACCGGAGCUAAUACCGGAUAGUUCCUUGAACCGCAUGGUUCAAGGAUGAAAGACGGUUUCGGCUGUCACUUACAGAUGGACCCGCGGCGCAUUAGCUAGUUGGUGAGGUAACGGCUCACCAAGGCGACGAUGCGUAGCCGACCUGAGAGGGUGAUCGGCCACACUGGGACUGAGACACGGCCCAGACUCCUACGGGAGGCAGCAGUAGGGAAUCUUCCGCAAUGGACGAAAGUCUGACGGAGCAACGCCGCGUGAGUGAUGAAGGUUUUCGGAUCGUAAAGCUCUGUUGUUAGGGAAGAACAAGUGCAAGAGUAACUGCUUGCACCUUGACGGUACCUAACCAGAAAGCCACGGCUAACUACGUGCCAGCAGCCGCGGUAAUACGUAGGUGGCAAGCGUUGUCCGGAAUUAUUGGGCGUAAAGGGCUCGCAGGCGGUUUCUUAAGUCUGAUGUGAAAGCCCCCGGCUCAACCGGGGAGGGUCAUUGGAAACUGGGAAACUUGAGUGCAGAAGAGGAGAGUGGAAUUCCACGUGUAGCGGUGAAAUGCGUAGAGAUGUGGAGGAACACCAGUGGCGAAGGCGACUCUCUGGUCUGUAACUGACGCUGAGGAGCGAAAGCGUGGGGAGCGAACAGGAUUAGAUACCCUGGUAGUCCACGCCGUAAACGAUGAGUGCUAAGUGUUAGGGGGUUUCCGCCCCUUAGUGCUGCAGCUAACGCAUUAAGCACUCCGCCUG